GAAUGCUGACAUAAGUAACGAUAAAGCGGGUGAAAAGCCCGCUCGCCGGAAGACCAAGGGUUCCUGUCCAACGUUAAUCGGGGCAGGGUGAGUCGACCCCUAAGGCGAGGCCGAAAGGCGUAGUCGAUGGGAAACAGGUUAAUAUUCCUGUACUUGGUGUUACUGCGAAGGGGGGACGGAGAAGGCUAUGUUGGCCGGGCGACGGUUGUCCCGGUUUAAGCGUGUAGGCUGGUUUUCCAGGCAAAUCCGGAAAAUCAAGGCUGAGGCGUGAUGACGAGGCACUACGGUGCUGAAGCGACAAAUGCCCUGCUUCCAGGAAAAGCCUCUAAGCAUCAGGUAACAUCAAAUCGUACCCCAAACCGACACAGGUGGUCAGGUAGAGAAUACCAAGGCGCUUGAGAGAACUCGGGUGAAGGAACUAGGCAAAAUGGUGCCGUAACUUCGGGAGAAGGCACGCUGAUAUGUAGGUGAAGCGACUUGCUCGUGGAGCUGAAAUCAGUCGAAGAUACCAGCUGGCUGCAACUGUUUAUUAAAAACACAGCACUGUGCAAACACGAAAGUGGACGUAUACGGUGUGACGCCUGCCCGGUGCCGGAAGGUUAAUUGAUGGGGUUAGCGGUAACGCGAAGCUCUUGAUCGAAGCCCCGGUAAACGGCGGCCGUAACUAUAACGGUCCUAAGGUAGCGAAAUUCCUUGUCGGGUAAGUUCCGACCUGCACGAAUGGCGUAAUGAUGGCCAGGCUGUCUCCACCCGAGACUCAGUGAAAUUGAACUCGCUGUGAAGAUGCAGUGUACCCGCGGCAAGACGGAAAGACCCCGUGAACCUUUACUAUAGCUUGACACUGAACAUUGAGCCUUGAUGUGUAGGAUAGGUGGGAGGCUUUGAAGUGUGGACGCCAGUCUGCAUGGAGCCGACCUUGAAAUACCACCCUUUAAUGUUUGAUGUUCUAACGUGGGCCCCUUACCGGGGUUGCGGACAGUGUCUGGUGGGUAGUUUGACUGGGGCGGUCUCCUCCUAAAGAGUAACGGAGGAGCACGAAGGUUGGCUAAUCCUGGUCGGACAUCAGGAGGUUAGUGCAAUGGCAUAAGCCAGCUUGACUGCGAGCGUGACGGCGCGAGCAGGUGCGAAAGCAGGUCAUAGUGAUCCGGUGGUUCUGAAUGGAAGGGCCAUCGCUCAACGGAUAAAAGGUACUCCGGGGAUAACAGGCUGAUACCGCCCAAGAGUUCAUAUCGACGGCGGUGUUUGGCACCUCGAUGUCGGCUCAUCACAUCCUGGGGCUGAAGUAGGUCCCAAGGGUAUGGCUGUUCGCCAUUUAAAGUGGUACGCGAGCUGGGUUUAGAACGUCGUGAGACAGUUCGGUCCCUAUCUGCCGUGGGCGCUGGAGAACUGAGGGGGGCUGCUCCUAGUACGAGAGGACCGGAGUGGACGCAUCACUGGUGUUCGGGUUGUCAUGCCAAUGGCACUGCCCGGUAGCUAAAUGCGGAAGAGAUAAGUGCUGAAAGCAUCUAAGCACGAAACUUGCCCCGAGAUGAGUUCUCCCUGACUCCUUGAGAGUCCUGAAGGAACGUUGAAGACGACGACGUUGAUA
Molecule: ribosomal RNA, 1588 nt
Filed under: Escherichia coli
Lineage: Bacteria; Pseudomonadati; Pseudomonadota; Gammaproteobacteria; Enterobacterales; Enterobacteriaceae
Description: partial 23S ribosomal RNA
Rfam family: Bacterial large subunit ribosomal RNA
Source: RNAcentral